ACAGAAAAAAAGUGAAGAAAAAGAAAAAGGAAGGGGGGGCAGCAUGUGGAGAGCAGGUGGUAAUGAAGACGUGGCGAAUGGUGAUUGAUGGAAGGAAGAAAACCCACGUGGGGAGGAUGGUAUGGAUCACGUGGGCAAAGUGAAGCAGCCAAUUCCAGAGAACCACAUCAGUCCUGGUACUGUACCAUAAUUAAUCGAGUUCGUCGCGUUCUUAUCUCUUCCUCCCUUGCCCUAACGCCCGCCCCGCCUCGCCCCGCCCACUUCUUGGCUCCAUUUCUCGCAAUCUCCGAAUCUCUUUGAUUAUAUAAUCUUCUCCCACGUUUGGACACAACGCACCAGAAAUUUAUGGCCAAAUUGUUAGCCUUCUCCUGCAUUUGCACCUACACCUUCAGCUUUGCUUCUUCUUUUCUCUUCAAAUGCACAAGGCCACUGAGGUGCAGGUGCUUCUGCAAGUGAAUGCCAUCUUGGCUCUCUCUCUCCGCCACCGCCGCCAUCUCCUCCCCGUACGGCUUUUUCAGGAAGCACAGUCCAAGCAUAUUGAAGUUUGAAAGGCCUUGAAUUGUUGUAGGGGAAAAGUAAUUAAAUACUGAAGGGGUAUGAGUGAGUUGUACCUGGAUUAUUUUACUUGGCCAACAUUGUUUGUUUGUCCUACCGUACCAUUUUCCUCAUGAACUUCUACUUAGUAAACUUUAGUUUUAGAACAGUGAAUUCUGACCCCUUAUUAUUUUUAAGUUUUAUUAAACCACGAGUAGUUUGAUAUUUCUUUUAAAAAGAAAUAGAGUAAGAAAGAAAACUGAUAUUUCUCUCGGUUUAUUUAAUUAUUACACAAUGUCAACUAAAUUAAAACCGUGAUUUAUUCUCAAUUGCUUUUACAGUUUGCUGAAAAUAGAUGGGGGAUUAAUUUUAUCAUUUACAAAGAUUCUUGUAAUAAUUCAAAAUUAAAAAGAAAUAAAUAAAAUAAGAGUUCCAUAUCUUUUGGGUUGAGAAGGUAGGGAAUUGGAGUCUACUAGAGGAGGUCACUUGUGGGUUGGAGCCCGUCAAAGCAUAUAUUUUCUGAUGAUUCUAGGUCCGCUUCAAUCUAACUAAGCCUAACUUGGAUAUGAUCAUUUUUAACUAAUUUAAAUUAUUUUGAGUUAAGUUUAAAUUAUGAAUCAAUUUUCUUAGAAUUCUAAUUUAUAUAGUAGAAUUUUAAAUUAUGAUCGUGAGGCUCUUUAGAUAAAAUUAAAUUUUAAGGAGUAGUCACUAGCAACAAGGUAGCCAAUGACUUCGGGCCAAUUAAGUAAGUGUCUCCACUAUUAGCUUGGUUGAUGAAUUGUAUUAUACAUGAUGAUGCAAUGUCCCAUGGCUCCUCUACUUGUUAUAUGCAUGAAUGAUAUGUUAAGUUAUGCUAGGUUUUGAUGCUAUGUUAUGAUGUGUCAUAUAUUUCAUGUUAUGCUAUGUUGUACUAUGAUAACUUAUAUCAUGUAUAAAAGCUAUGUUAUAUUGGUGAUCAUAUCAUAUUGUAUAAAGUUGUUAUUAAAUCAAUUAUAUAUGAUAGCAUAAACUUUUGUAGAACAUGUCAUGAAAGCUAUGUUAUGUAUCUUGGAAUUUACAAGAAUUAUGCGGUAUAAUUCAUGAUUUAUUAGGCUAUAAAUAGAGGGGAGUUUUUCUUGCAUCAAACAUUAUAAGCUAUGAGGAUUUUAUGCAUAUUUGUGUCAUGUGCAUUGGGAUAUUUCACCAAUAUGAUGAGUACGGAUAAAUACAUUAUAACAUUUAUGUUUGUCAUGUUAUUAUGUGGGUCCUUCCCUCCAUAGCAUUCGGCAACAACCCAUUAGCGAGUGCUAGCUUGACGAGACAAGUCCAGGAAGUGUGUGAGCCCACUUGGCGGGCCCAUGCACGCACGCGUGAGUCAUCCAUAGAGGAGUACUAUGCAUCCAACCUUGUCGAGCCUAAAGUCAUGCUAUGAUGUUUUAAGAGGAUAGAUCUUACCAUGUUACAUUUGUUUGCCUUUUCU
Long non-coding RNA from Cucurbita maxima (winter squash), 1993 nucleotides. RefSeq lists it as uncharacterized. The transcript has 2 exons. NCBI's taxonomy places the organism in Eukaryota, Viridiplantae, Streptophyta, Magnoliopsida, Cucurbitales, Cucurbitaceae. The record is from RefSeq and is a predicted model, not a curated record.